RNAcentral lists this ribosomal RNA (263 nucleotides) under uncultured bacterium. RNAcentral describes it as "partial 16S ribosomal RNA". It matches the Rfam family "Bacterial small subunit ribosomal RNA", at positions 95 to 354 of the family's 1533-position model. The record is from RNAcentral.
CCGGCGCACGGGUGAGUAACACGUAUGAAACCUGCCCGUAGCAGGGGGAUAAGCGGAAGAAAUUCUGUCUAAUACCGCGUAACAACCCAUGGAGGCAUCUCUGUGGGUUUAAAGGAAGCGAUUCCGGCUACGGAUGGUCAUGCGUCGCAUUAGCUUGUUGGCGGGGUAACGGCCCACCAAGGCGACGAUGCGUAGGGGUUCUGAGAGGAAGGUCCCCCACACUGGUACUGAGACACGGACCAGACUCCUACGGAAGGCAGCAG